RNAcentral lists this ribosomal RNA (680 nucleotides) under uncultured bacterium. RNAcentral describes it as "bacterial SSU rRNA". It matches the Rfam family "Bacterial small subunit ribosomal RNA", at positions 36 to 643 of the family's 1533-position model. The record is from RNAcentral.
CUGGCGGCGUGCCUAACACAUGCAAGUCGAGCGGAGUUUUCUUUGGCACUGGGUGUUCAGACAGCGUCAAGACCUGUCAAGGGCUUUACGCGUUUAAGAAAGUGGAUAACACUUUCGGGAUGAACAUUGAGUGCUGAAGAAAACUUAGCGGCGGACGGGUGAGUAACGCGUGGGCAACCUGCCCUUAAGAGGGGGAUAACACUAAGAAAUUGGUGCUAAUACCGCAUAAAGUAUCGUUGCUGCAUGGCGAGGAUAUCAAAGGAGAAAUCCGCUUAAGGAGGGGCCCGCGUCUGAUUAGCUAGUUGGUGAGGUAAAGGCUCACCAAGGCGACGAUCAGUAGCCGACCUGAGAGGGUGAUCGGCCACACUGGAACUGAGACACGGUCCAGACUCCUACGGGAGGCAGCAGUGGGGAAUAUUGCGCAAUGGGGGAAACCCUGACGCAGCAACGCCGCGUGGAGGAAGAAGGUCUUCGGAUUGUAAACUCCUGUCUUCUGGGACGAAAAAUGACGGUACCAGAGGAGGAAGCCACGGCUAACUACGUGCCAGCAGCCGCGGUAAUACGUAGGUGGCAAGCGUUGUCCGGAAUUAUUGGGCGUAAAGGGCGCGUAGGCGGCAGCCUAAGUCAGAUGUGAAACCCCGGGGCUUAACUCCGGACGUGCAUUUGAAACUGGGUAGCUA